GAUGAAGAACGCAGCGAAAUGCGAUAAGUAGUGUGAAUUGCAGAAUUCCGUGAAUCAUCGAGUCUUUGAACGCACAUUGCGCCCCCUGGUAUUCCGGGGGGCAUGCCUGUCCGAGCGUCAUUGCUGCCCUCAAGCACGGCUUGUGUGUUGGGCUCCGCCCCCCUCCCGGGGGGCGGGCCCGAAAGGCAGCGGCGGCACCGCGUCCGGUCCUCGAGCGUAUGGGGCUUUGUCACCCGCUCUGUAGGCCCGGCCGGCGCCCGCCGGCGACCCCAAUCAAUCUUUCCAGGUUGACCUCGGAUCAGGUAGGGAUACCCGCUGAACUUAAGCAUAUCAAUAAGCGGAGGA
RNAcentral lists this unclassified non-coding RNA (345 nucleotides) under soil metagenome. Its description in RNAcentral is "partial contains 5.8S ribosomal RNA, internal transcribed spacer 2, and large subunit ribosomal RNA". The stretch from base 1 to 120 matches the Rfam family "5.8S ribosomal RNA", at positions 35 to 154 of the family's 154-position model. The record is from RNAcentral.